Molecule: ribosomal RNA, 303 nt
Filed under: uncultured bacterium
Lineage: Bacteria
Description: partial 16S ribosomal RNA
Rfam family: Bacterial small subunit ribosomal RNA
Source: RNAcentral
AGCAGUCGCCACGGGAAUACGUAGGUGGCAAGCGUUGUCCGGAAUUAUUGGGCGUAAAGCGUACGUAGGCGGAUAUUUAAGUCAGGGGUGAAAUCCCAGAGCUCAACUCUGGAACUGCCUUUGAUACUGGGUAUCUUGAGUAUGGAAGAGGUGAGUGGAAUUCCGAGUGUAGAGGUGAAAUUCGUAGAUAUUCGGAGGAACACCAGUGGCGAAGGCGGCUCACUGGUCCAUUACUGACGCUGAGGUGCGAAAGCGUGGGGAGCAAACAGGAUUAGAGACCCGCGUAGUCCCUGUCUCUUAUAC